AGAACGAACGCUGGCGGCAUGCCUAAUACAUGCAAGUCGAACGAAGGCUUCGGCCUUAGUGGCGCACGGGUGCGUAACGCGUGGGAAUCUGCCCCUUGGUUCGGAAUAACAGUUGGAAACGACUGCUAAUACCGGAUGAUGACGAAAGUCCAAAGAUUUAUCGCCAAGGGAUGAGCCCGCGUAGGAUUAGCUAGUUGGUGAGGUAAAGGCUCACCAAGGCGACGAUCCUUAGCUGGUCUGAGAGGAUGAUCAGCCACACUGGGACUGAGACACGGCCCAGACUCCUACGGGAGGCAGCAGUAGGGAAUAUUGGACAAUGGGCGAAAGCCUGAUCCAGCAAUGCCGCGUGAGUGAUGAAGGCCUUAGGGUUGUAAAGCUUCUUUACCCGAGAUGAUAAUGACAGUAGUCGGAGAAGUAACGCCCGG
This 425-nucleotide ribosomal RNA is filed under the name uncultured soil bacterium. RNAcentral's name for it is "bacterial SSU rRNA". It matches the Rfam family "Bacterial small subunit ribosomal RNA", at positions 26 to 496 of the family's 1533-position model. The record is from RNAcentral.